GGGCGAUUAGUUAAAUGGUAUAAUAAAGGUCUCCAAAACCUUGGUCGGGGGUUCGAUUCCCUCAUCGCCCGCAA
Molecule: transfer RNA, 74 nt
Filed under: Candidatus Campbelliibacteriota bacterium
Lineage: Bacteria; Candidatus Campbelliibacteriota
Description: Candidatus Campbellbacteria bacterium tRNA-Trp
Rfam family: tRNA
About the family: Transfer RNA (tRNA) molecules are approximately 80 nucleotides in length.
Source: RNAcentral